This 283-nucleotide long non-coding RNA is filed under the name Monodelphis domestica (gray short-tailed opossum). RNAcentral describes it as "lncRNA (ENSMODG00000038828.1)". Lineage: Eukaryota; Metazoa; Chordata; Mammalia; Didelphimorphia; Didelphidae. The record is from RNAcentral.
ACAAGACAAAAUUUAAGACCUCAACCAUUUUAAAUAUCACACCAGCCAGACUGGGACUUCACCCAAGUUGAAGGGAAUCGGGCCACUGAAAAAGGGAAUUGCCCUCUCCUCCAAAGAUGGGAUCCUCCUCGCCGAUCUUCUUGGCAUACCCAGCCCUCUGAGGCUCUAAUUUUCUCUGGCAAUGAAUGAUGGGGAUGGGUCUCAGGCCCCCUCUCUGAGUCCUGGAUAACCGCGAAGAUAGAGGGGAAGCCAUUCUCAAUGCUCAUGGACACAGGGGCAGAAC